CACCGGCGUGGCCACCUCCGGCCACGCCCGCCCCCGGUCGCCGCUCCCGCCGGCGCGGCCACCUCUGGCCCCGCCCUCGCCCGCUGCGGCCGCCCCGUUGCAUUGCACGGCUCUGAGUCCUAGACGACCUCGUUCCCCUCCACCGUCUCGCCUCUCUCUUGGUUCCUCGCGGUGACGAUUGGGAGAGCGCCUCCUCUCCUCCCUCACUCCCUCCGUGAGCUCCUCGCCGGUGGCGCGCGCUGACACCCGUUGCCACGUCUUCUCCGCUGACAUGGGCUCACCAGGGGACUCAUAUGGAAUAGAGAUUUUUGCCCUGGUGGCAUAAUUUUUGGAAACUAAAUUGUGUUCGGUGUGAGAGCUAUGUGCUUAGCUUUCUCCUGAGAGGUAAAUUGGACUUUGGCGUGAGCCCAAAAUGGAGGCACUUCAGAACAUGACACUGUAUCGCGGAGCGGUCUUCUAGGCGACCUCGCGGGUUUGGCUAUGUAACAUUCGCCUCAACUGACGAUGCAAAGAAUGUUCUGGGAGCCGUACAUUAGAAGUGAAGAUAGCUAUUCCAAAGGUACACAAUGUUUGCUAACAUCAUUAUCCUUGGUCUUCACCUCCAUCUACACCUACCGAACAUCAGACCCCUCCAGCUACCUUGCCGACGCAUGAACGAGAAGACGAGUCAGACUUUGUCGAAACCCUCUUCGCUAGUGGAGGUAUCGACCAUCACUCUUCACUGUAACCCGAUGGUGAUCGGCGUCCGUGAGCUUCCAUGUUAUUGUGUUCUGAUACUUGAGACUUUUAUUAUGACUAUGUAUGAGAUAUUGUCUCUUAUUAGUACUGGAUGAGAUGUGUCUUAUUAUGACUAUGGAUGAGACUUUUGUGAUGUAAUUAAUGAGACUAUGGAUUUAAAUAUUGUUAUGUGAUUAUGUGUGAGAUGUUUUAUGU
Molecule: long non-coding RNA, 933 nt
Organism: Zea mays
Lineage: Eukaryota; Viridiplantae; Streptophyta; Magnoliopsida; Poales; Poaceae
Exons: 6
Source: RefSeq, a predicted model, not a curated record